UACGUAGGGGGCGAGCGUUGUCCGGAUUUAUUGGGCGUAAAGAGCGUGUAGGCGGCCAGGUAGGUCUGCUGUGAAAACUCGAGGCUCAACCUCGAGACGUCGGCGGAAACCAUCUGGCUAGAGUCCGGAAGAGGAGAGUGGAAUUCCUGGUGUAGCGGUGAAAUGCGCAGAUAUCGGGAGGAACACCUAUGGCGAAGGCAGCUCGCUGGGACGUUACUGACGCUGAGACGCGAAAGCGUGGGGAGCAAACAGG
Molecule: ribosomal RNA, 253 nt
Filed under: uncultured bacterium
Lineage: Bacteria
Description: partial 16S ribosomal RNA
Rfam family: Bacterial small subunit ribosomal RNA
Source: RNAcentral